Ctenopharyngodon idella (grass carp) is the source of this 409-nucleotide long non-coding RNA. RefSeq lists it as uncharacterized. The transcript is spliced from 3 exons. NCBI's taxonomy places the organism in Eukaryota, Metazoa, Chordata, Actinopteri, Cypriniformes, Xenocyprididae. The record is from RefSeq and is a predicted model, not a curated record.
UGAAAACUGCAGUGGCAGCAAACACUACAGGCGGUGCAAAGCGCCAUGUGUCCUCCAAUAAUAUGACCAUGGGGGCCAGUGAACCUCCGAUACGGGCUAUAAAAGAGGUGUAGCCCAAGCCACAUUGCCUAUGAAAGUUCCACCACUCACCACCAGGCAAUUAUGCCAACAAGGCAGGGUGAUGUCACCACCAGAAUGAGGUGCCUCCAGUCCCUGAUGAGAUAUGCCAGAAGAGCCAGAAGCAUGUUCCCUACACUCCAUCCGAGACUGAUAAUGCAGAAAUUCGAGAUAUAUCUUGGGGCCUUUCAAAUGUUGUCUUUGACAAUGCCUUGGAAUUGAGGACCACUGAAAUAGAGGAAAGCGCCUUGCAUAUUCUUACCUCUGUGGCGGUUGUUGAGGUGAACUGUGA